Brassica napus (rape) is the source of this 1368-nucleotide long non-coding RNA. RefSeq lists it as uncharacterized. The transcript has 4 exons. Lineage: Eukaryota; Viridiplantae; Streptophyta; Magnoliopsida; Brassicales; Brassicaceae. The record is from RefSeq and is a predicted model, not a curated record.
ACGACGAUACUGUUCAUCUUCCUGCUGCAGGAAACUGGCAACGUUUUGCGGUUUAUUCAUGCGAAGGGUCGUCUUCAACACAAUUAUUAACUAUUGUCGGUCUAUGAUUCAAUGCUUCCUCAUUUAUUGACUCCGUCAGAAACUUCAAGUAUAAAAAGAAACGCUUUCUUCGUAGACUCCGGCUAAAACACUUACAACGAAGAUGAUGAUUAUCACUUUCUCCGUCGAAUUGUUUCCUCCGAACAUCAAAAUCAAUGGAGGCAACAUCUACGUGUGAAGGAGAAACAAUCUCGGCGAAGGCAGAUCAAACGCUCGCCAGCGGAGAAGGCGCUAAUCAGGCCGCGUUUGGAGCGGAGUUGCUUUACUCACCUCUAUCUGCUUCACGAGUUGCCACCGUGAAUCUUUAGGGUUCGUUGUUAGCUGGAAGCUCUGAUUAGUUUCACCAACAAUGGAGGUUCUGAAAGAGCAAACCCCCAUGAAUUUGUACGGUUUGGCAUGAUUGGAGACGUUUGCGGCGAAAGGAUAUGAAUGCACAAGAGAAUGAAGAGAAAUGAUGCAGAUCAUGUUGAUGUUUUAGUCCAUCUGAUUCAGCAAACUAAACAAGCACAUUGAUCCCAAUAAUGCUCUUUAGCUUCCCUUAGAAACCUUAAUGGUUGAUUUUUAAAGAGUCCACAUGAAUUUCUCUUUCAGAUGCAUAAGGUAAAACCACAACAAUUUUAUGUUGAUUUUUUAGUUUACUCACUGCAACAUUCAACCAUCCAUCUCAGUUAGGCUUGCACUGCUUAGUGCAGUGGGGGUUUGCUACAAGUCAAGAAAGUUGCCAUUGCUUAUAUAACUUCGCCAAAAGAUUGUUGGGAACUAACUCAAAUCUAGCUAGCCAUGCCAAGCUGACCACACACGUUGUGGAAGCUACUAAACAUAACAUGAUGGAUGAACCGUUAGUGUAUAAACAAAUUAAUGCCAUCUCAACAUAUAUAUAUUUAUUUAUUUAUUACUAAGGUAUGCAGGUUUACGUGGUUCUCUGCAGCAUAACAACUUUCUGUGAUAUUUGCAGGUUUUCUUUGCUCUCCAUCUUAACUCUUAAGACCCAUGAUCAAUUCAGAUUUGUAAGUCUGAGGGUUUUAUGUGAUCAAUGCGGCAGUGGAUGAAGUUAAAUAAGUAUAGAAAAAUUGUUUUGUUUAUAUACAUAAUUUACAAUAUGUAAAUUGUGAAUGAUGUAGCUGUGUAGAAAUAUUAACUGUAGUAUAUAUUUUUAAAACAAAAGAUUGAAAUGGAAAUGUAAAGUAUUAAAAUCUGCAUGUUAAGUAUUUAAAGAAGUAAUUGCAGAAAUUAAAUGUUAUAAAGUAUACAGAGGUAACGAUAUAGAAA